UGCUCAGACAGGACCUCACCUGCCCCAGCCUCUCGCUUACUGGCAAAUCGUCAUCCAGUGGAGGAGGGGCCAGACUGGAGCUCAGACCUGAGGAUUGAUAGAAAAACAGAGAGUCCAAUUAACACCAGACCAUCACUGUCUCUUACUGGAAAACCAUCAGUCCUGUUGAGCUUCUGACGAGCUGCUGGUGCUGCACAGAUAACACAUGCAUGGUUGAGGAGACUGCAUUCAACACAGGCUAUUUGGAGUAUAACAGUUGUUUGUGUUGUAGCUGACUUAUUGUAGUGUUGAAGAGGCGCCGGUCACUUGCUACGUCUAUGAUGGAGAAGGUCCCGGAGUUGCUGGGACAGAGUGAAGCAUCCUGGGACAGCUG
Molecule: long non-coding RNA, 373 nt
Organism: Lates calcarifer (barramundi perch)
Lineage: Eukaryota; Metazoa; Chordata; Actinopteri; Centropomidae
Exons: 3
Source: RefSeq, a predicted model, not a curated record